This 466-nucleotide ribosomal RNA is filed under the name uncultured bacterium. RNAcentral describes it as "partial 16S ribosomal RNA". It matches the Rfam family "Bacterial small subunit ribosomal RNA", at positions 28 to 507 of the family's 1533-position model. The record is from RNAcentral.
GAUGAACGCUGGCGGCGUGCUUAACACAUGCAAGUCGAACGAUGAAGCCCAGCUUGCUGGGUGGAUUAGUGGCGAACGUGUGAGUUACACGUGAGUAACCUGCCCUUUACUCUAGGAUAAUCCUGGGAAACUGUGUCUAUUACCGGCUAGGGGCGUCCACCGCAUGGUGGGUGUUGGCGCGAUUUAUCGGUGUUGGAUGUGCUCGCGGCUUAUCAGCUUCGUGGUGUGGUUAUGGCUCACCAAGGCUAAGACGGGUCGCAGGCCUGAGAGGGUGACCGGACACACUGGGACUGAGACACGGCCCAGACUAAUACGGGAAGCAACGGUGGGGAAGAGUGCACAAUGGGCGAAAGCCUGAUGCAGCGAAGCGGCGUGAGGGAUGACGGCCUUCGGGUUGUAAACCACUUUCAGUAGGGAAGAAGAGAAAGUGACGGUACCUGAAGAAGAAGCACCGGCUAACUACGUG